Molecule: long non-coding RNA, 1139 nt
Organism: Bos taurus (domestic cattle)
Lineage: Eukaryota; Metazoa; Chordata; Mammalia; Artiodactyla; Bovidae
Source: Ensembl
UCCGUGGCCACCCCGAGGACCUGACUUUCCCUUUGAGUGUCUCACGAACCUCUCAGGUUUUCACAAGAGCCUUCCGGCUGCGGGGAUGACAGUGGGAUGAAGGGAGGAGGCCGGGGCAGUGUCUGGAUGAGCCACGAGCAGACGUGGGCCCCGUGCGGGGGUGAGCAUGGGAGGGCCUCGCUAUCUCCUCCUCAGGACCUUUGCACGGGCCGCGCCGUGCCCGGAACCCUCCCCCCAGGAUCAGAGAGGGGCUGAGGGUGUGCAGCCCACUGAGCUGGGUCUGGCCACCGCCUGGCUCCAUCCACUCGAAGGGACUGGAACAGGAGACCACUCCAACAGGCCUAUGAGUCGGGGGAGACACCAAGGCGAGGUCCAUGGGAUGUCUGUGAACGCCCGUGCCUUGCGACCACCCAGCCCCGGGACCCUGCGCCCGCCGGUGGGCUGCUGGCCCGUAAUUGGAUUUGCCAGGCAGCUGUCAGGGCUAAGCAGGCCCACUUGAUGCAGCCACGCUCAGCCGGUAAUUGGUGAAGUUAGCAGGUCGGCGGGGGCAGAGGUCGGGUGGUUAAUGCUGUCGUGGGGGCUUUGAUGAAGUCAGCCCUGCUGCAGGGCUGGGAGCCGCGGUGCGAACCUCUGUGUGCCAUGGGGCUCCGCUGCCCCUCGCCUAACUCGGUUAGGGGGUCUCCAGCUGCCGGCCCGGCCCCGGGGCUCUGCAGGGCUGGACCCAGGAGGCCUGAGCCUGCAGGGGCAGCAGAUCAGCUGCUGUGUGCUCCUGCCCAGGGCCCUGCAGCACCCGAGGGGACUUGCGGGCCCCUAGGGAUCUUGGGGUGCUGCCCUGUGGCGGGGACGGGGGGGACAAGGGCCGGGCCGCCAGGAUCUCAGGGCGAGGCCUGAUAUCUUCAUGCUGAAGCCAGCAGUGCACCCCGCCCCCGCGGCCGGCGGCGGACCUAACCAGUGGUGGUUAGGGGCCCCAGGCCGUGGGCUGGGCAGGCGGGCGGCGGUCAUGACCCUCACGACCCCGACAACGCGCGCGCACGGACGCAGGCACGCAUGCAAGGGCGCGGGCACGGACACGCACGCACGGACACGGACAUGCGCGCACGGACACGCACACACGCACGCACGCACGCACGCGCACGCAC